RNAcentral lists this ribosomal RNA (154 nucleotides) under uncultured bacterium. RNAcentral's name for it is "partial 16S ribosomal RNA". It matches the Rfam family "Bacterial small subunit ribosomal RNA", at positions 373 to 523 of the family's 1533-position model. The record is from RNAcentral.
GGGCGAGCUGAUCAGCCAUGCCGCGUGAGUGAAGAAGGCCUUCGGGUUGUAAAGCUCUUUUAGUUGGAAAGAAAGAAUUAUAGUUAAUAGCUAUAAUUUAUGACGGUACCAACAGAAAAAGCACCGGCUAACUACGUGCCAGCAGCCGCGGUAA